Long non-coding RNA from Helianthus annuus (common sunflower), 456 nucleotides. RefSeq lists it as uncharacterized. The transcript has 3 exons. Lineage: Eukaryota; Viridiplantae; Streptophyta; Magnoliopsida; Asterales; Asteraceae. The record is from RefSeq and is a predicted model, not a curated record.
CCAAAAACACACACUUUAUGUGUGUUUUGGUCGACCAAAAACACAGAGACAACAAGGAGUUCCCUUCAAGCCCUAAACUCACAAAAUUCUCCAAAUUCAAGAGAAAUCAAGCUAAGAAAAUUGGGGCUUUUAAUAAAUUCGUGAUCACUCAAGCUAGGAGAUCACAAGUUUACACUUGACGAGCAAGAUGGAGGCUUGGGAAAGAAGCGGGUCAAACGGAUUAAUUACGCGGAGAAAGAAUAACUGGAUUCAAGGAAUGUCUUAUGGAACUCCGGAUGAGGAUCAAGCAAGAAAGGAAAACCGAACACGUGUCUCGAAGCUUCCACAACAAUCUUAUUUUGUUCUAGAUUAAAAAGUGGAUAUUGUAAACACUUGAAAUUAUAUUUUGGAAUGUUUUAAAUUAUGUAAGAACUUUAACUUGGAAAAGUUUUUGUAAGCUUACAUUUUCGUAUAAAA